This 419-nucleotide ribosomal RNA is filed under the name bacterium. RNAcentral describes it as "partial 16S ribosomal RNA". It matches the Rfam family "Bacterial small subunit ribosomal RNA", at positions 355 to 776 of the family's 1533-position model. The record is from RNAcentral.
UGGGGGAUAUUGCACAAUGGGCGAAAGCCUGAUGCAGCGACGCCGCGUGGGGGAUGAAGGCCUUCGGGUUGUAAACUUCUUUUGCUCUGAACAAGGCGCACCAUGGGGUGUGUUGAGUGUAGGGGUUGAUUAGCGCCGGCUAACUACGUGCCAGCAGCCGCGGUAAUACGUAGGGCGCGGGCGUUGUCCGGAAUUAUUGGGCGUAAAGGGCUUGUAGGUGGCUGGUUGCGUCUGUCGUGAAAGCUCAUGGCUUAACUGUGGGUUUGCGGUGGGUACGGGCUGGCUUGAGUGCAGUAGGGGAGGCUGGAAUUCCUGGUGUAGCGGUGGAAUGCGCAGAUAUCAGGAGGAAUACCGGUGGCGAAGGCGGGUCUCUGGGCUGUUACUGACACUGAGGAGCGAAAGCAUGGGGAGCGAACAGG